This 253-nucleotide ribosomal RNA is filed under the name uncultured bacterium. RNAcentral's name for it is "partial 16S ribosomal RNA". It matches the Rfam family "Bacterial small subunit ribosomal RNA", at positions 524 to 776 of the family's 1533-position model. The record is from RNAcentral.
UACGUAGGUGACAAGCGUUGCCCGGAUUUACUGGGCGUAAAGAGCGCGCAGGCGGUCGACCAAGUCGAGUGUGAAAGCCCCCGGCUCAACUGGGGAGGGUCAUUCGAUACUGAUCGACUCGAAGGCAGGAGAGGGUAGUGGAAUUCCCGGUGUAGUGGUGAAAUGCGUAGAUAUCGGGAGGAACACCAGUGGCGAAGGCGACUACCUGGCCUGUUCUUGACGCUGAGGCGCGAAAGCUAGGGGAGCAAACGGG